RNAcentral lists this ribosomal RNA (497 nucleotides) under uncultured bacterium. Its description in RNAcentral is "partial 16S ribosomal RNA". It matches the Rfam family "Bacterial small subunit ribosomal RNA", at positions 28 to 507 of the family's 1533-position model. The record is from RNAcentral.
GAUGAACGCUGGCGGCGUGCCUAAUACAUGCAAGUCGAGCGAACAGACGAGGAGCUUGCUCCUCUGACGUUAGCGGCGGACGGGUGAGUAACACGUGGAUAACCUACCUAUAAGACUGGGAUAACUUCGGGAAACCGGAGCUAAUACCGGCUACUAUAUUGAACCGCAUGGUUCAAUAGUGAAAGACGGUUUUGCUGACACUUAUAGAUGGUUCCGCGCCGCAUUAGCUAGUUGGUAAGGUAACGGCUUACCAAGGCAAUGAUGCGUAGCCGACCUGAGAGGGUGAUCGGCCACACUGGAACUGAGACACGGUCCAGACUCCUACGGGAGGCAGCAGUAGGGAAUCUUCCGCAAUGGGCGAAAGCCUGACGGAGCAACGCCGCGUGAGUGAUGAAGGUCUUCGGAUCGUAAAACUCUGUUAUUAGGGAAGAACAAAUGUGGAAGUAACUAUGCACGUCUUGACGGUACCUAAUCAGAAAGCCACGGCUAACUACGUG